Patella vulgata (common limpet) is the source of this 984-nucleotide long non-coding RNA. RefSeq lists it as uncharacterized. NCBI's taxonomy places the organism in Eukaryota, Metazoa, Mollusca, Gastropoda, Patellidae. The record is from RefSeq and is a predicted model, not a curated record. The transcript is spliced from 8 exons.
AUUGGCAGUCUCGAUAUUCCAGUCUUUACAAUAAUAUUAAUAGUGUUGUGAAAGAGACUUGAAACACGCGUCGUCACUAUAGGGGGUUCCCCAUAGCUACAUGUCUGGCUGAGAAUCAAAGUAUUAAUUAUUGUAAGGAAUAAAGAUGUCAGAAGAUAUCGAUGCUGAAUCACAGAAUGAAGACUAUCAUAUUUCUAGCAGUGAAUAUGAUGAUGUAUUCGAUGAGAAUACACAGGUAAAGAUCAUAGGAGCUGAUGAGGAAAAUACUUCUAGUGACGAUGAUAUUGGCGGUGGAGUGAGGAUCAAGACAUCAAACAUCAUUGUAGAUACUUCUGAUGAGGACAAUACUUGUAGUGACGAAAACAUUGGCGGUGGAGCGAGGAACAAGAUAUCAAAAAAAGGGAAAACAUACCACUUUACAAAUUGCACUAAUGUCCAAGUUGGGGAAAAACCCAGAAUGGACAUUCGAAGAUUGGAUGGUAUUAAGGAAAAAUGUAUAGCACUUCAGGAGGCAAACACGGAACAGAAGCAAGCCAUUCAAGAACAUCAACAAGCGAUACGCACAUUGCGGGAGGAACAGAAGCAAACCAUCCAAGAACAUCAGCAAGCGAUAGACAUAUUACGGGAGGCAGACAUGGAACAUAAGCAAACCAUCCAAGAACAUCAGCAAGCGAUAUAUAUACUACAGGAUAAGGUUACCGAACAACAAGAAAGCAUCAGACAAUUGAAAAAAUCGGACGUUGAAAACAAGAAAACUAUUACUGGAUUGCAACAUUCCAUUAAUAUACAACAAGAAGAGAUACAGUCUCUAAAGAUGAAAUCUAUUAAUAGUUCGCCUCUCCCAAAUGCAGCCAAUCAGAACAAAGAUGUGAAACUAUCAUCUGACAACUUGAAUGGAGAAGCAUUAUCUGGUAAAACAACCACAAAGAACAAGACUGGAUAUCCAUGGAAUGAGAAGACGUAUCAGUGCUUGUUGAGGUAAGC